Molecule: long non-coding RNA, 2725 nt
Filed under: Lactuca sativa (garden lettuce)
Lineage: Eukaryota; Viridiplantae; Streptophyta; Magnoliopsida; Asterales; Asteraceae
Description: long non-coding RNA (LSAT_LNC000127)
Source: RNAcentral
GCAAUUGAUGGACUAAAUAGCAAGUUCUGUGGGAUCACAAGGACUUAUUUAUAAAAAUCAUAACUUUGGAUGUAAACUUACAGUAAGGAAAAGUCAAUAGUCAGCACCAUUGAGUAUAAAAUGGUGGAUCUCUUAUUUGCAACAAUUGCAAAAAUAUCUCAAUUGGCCGUCAAAUACCUUGGUAUUGCCAUUCGAAUGCAUGGUCAUUCACCCCUACUUGAUAAUUAAAAACAUUAUACUACUCACUUAGUACCUUUUCCCUUUAUCUUCUUCAAAAGAGAUUUUGAUGUUUCAUCUGAUUUCUAGUCUUUACCUCAAUAGGAAGUUUUUAGAAAUAAUUAUGUGUAAUGGGCAUAUGAUCUGUCCUACAUAAGCUAUGGUAAUAAGAAAUAUAAUAGAUAUUAGCCUGCUUACAAGCUUCCUGUGUGAAACUAUAGCCACUGCAAUUGAAAUCCCUUGUAAUUCAAUUUAAACAUUAGCUUUUGAAUCAACAAUUGAAAUUCAAAUUACAAUUCAAAGAUAAGAAUUACACGUCACCUACUAAAAAGAGAUUAUAACACAAAUAUUAAAGAAAUUGUGUGUUUAAUUUUUCAUUAACCUCAACAAAUUAAAACUGGUACAUAAGUAAUACAAUCAACUUAACUAAUUGUGUGCUAAUUGGUUGAAUGUCAUCAUAGUUCAUUAAGUAAUGAUUUAUUUUUAAAUCGGUUAGAUAGAUCAUGAAUUUACCAAAGAUUGGAGCCCAAAGUGCGAGCAGCACACCAAUAUUGUAAAAGUACAUAACCUAAUUUUAGAAAACUAAAUAAAAGGUAUUUGAAAUCUUAUAUUUUUUUCCUUUUAAUACAAUAUUACCUUUGUGGGAGAAGUACUUCUGUCUAUGUGAAUGUUGGGGUGUCAUCUAUUAAUCACAUAUACACAUCUGAUCACAAAAUCUAUAAUAAUGUGAGAAUAAUAAUGUAAAAACAAAGUAGCCUUUAGAAAAUACUUCAACAAACAAUUAUAUAAUAAACCUCAUUAAAAUAUAAUUUUUGCAAUGAUGGUCUGUAAACCCUGCACCAUCAAAUAAAAUAUAAAAUCACAAGAAAUAAAGAUGAUUUUAAUGCUUCCCUAUAAAUGAUUAAAUUAACCGGAAACAAAUUAGAAUUAAAACAGGGAAUAUGACCAGUAAGCAAGGUCUGCUAUCUACAUGACCCACAUAUUAGGCCAUCUAUGUGCAUCACCUUCUCUGUUUCGACUCACUAUCUUCAAUACAAAGUUGAAUUUGGAAUGUUAUUUGAAACAGAGAGUAAAGAUUGGACAAUUUAGUAUGUAUAUACAAAAAGUUGCAGAAAAAAAGCAACUGAGUAGAAAUGAUGAAGAUAUAUAUAUACCUAUAGGACCACUGGAGUAUGAAAUUUGUCUUUGGAUUGUGCACGAAUUUGAAUCAUCAAAACUUCAUAAUCCAACAAAGCAUGCUUGAAGCUUGGCUAUGCCAUAUUUAUUAUUAAGAAACCUACCCCACAUGAUAAAUACAACACAAAUCACCAAAAACUCAUCUUAAAUUGAAAAUUACAUCUUUAGUACAUUAGGUUUUGGAAGCUCAUGCUGAACUUUCUUGAUGUCAGUUAAAUACUAAAAUAGUGAAGGACACUUCAUACCUAAGGAUUUCUCCAUAAAUAACUUACCUUUCCACUCAUAUAAGAUUCAUAAACAUUAAAUUAACAAGAAAAGAAUAUGAUUGAAGAAUAUUUGAUAGAAAAAUUUCAAGAAAUGUCUACUCACUGAUUCAGAAGCAUAAUCGUUCGGUGCAUAUUUGACUCUAAAAUAUAGAAGUGGAACCGUUUCAACAUCCAUGCAAGUAAGUUAACUUUCAAUAUUUAGUUGGUGUUCGAAGAUAGUUUUCCCAAAUUACAUAAAUACCAAUAUACAAACACACAUAGCUUUAACAAGAUUGACAUACACACAUUUGUACAUAUUUAUACAUCAUAAACAUGUAGCCUGUAAAAAUUUAUCAGAUUGUAAUACAUAUAUUUAUACAUACAAACACAUUUUUCCACACAUAACUUUAAUCAUCAACAUAAAAUUGAAAAAAAAUGAAAAAAAAAAAAAAAGAAACAAAAAUAAAUGAAAGAUGUACCUUUGAGUUUAGAUUCCCGUCCGUCUAAAAGGGAAAGUAGAAAAUUAAUUUAGUAGUUUCACAAACCUACAUAAAUGGAAAAGAAAACAAAUCAAAUUAAAACCAGAAUCGGAACACUUCGUAUUCCAAAAGUAUAAUCAAAAUUACUCAAUGUAGACGAUGGUUGCUCAGAAUUUCCAUAGUUAGGGUUUUAUGAUAGAGUAAUAGAGAGACAUAGAGAAGAAAGAGAUUUUGGUGUUGUAUUGGUGGUUUGGUAGAGAUGAGAAGGAAGUACCGGAAUCUUAGUGAGAAUCAUCGCUUGAGGUAUCAGAAAAAUGGAGGCGGCAGUGAUCUGACAACGUAGGAUGCGGUGACAAAUGCUAGAGUUUUUGUUCGUGCAAACGGCGAUGUGAGAAAGUUAGAGGAAAAAAAGAGAUCGAAUAUCUUCCAAUUUGAAUGAGUCUCCACUGAAUCUCGGAUUGACUGAUUCAAUUGGGUGAAGAUGAAGAGCCGAUUCAGUUGGGUGAAGAUGAAGAGAAAGGUGAAUAUAUGCAGAAUUUAAGAUAUUUAAGAUAUUUGCUGAAGCGUAUUUGAAUGAAAAAUCUUUCAAAUUUUGAAUGAACACUGAAU